This 253-nucleotide ribosomal RNA is filed under the name uncultured prokaryote. RNAcentral describes it as "partial 16S ribosomal RNA". It matches the Rfam family "Bacterial small subunit ribosomal RNA", at positions 524 to 776 of the family's 1533-position model. The record is from RNAcentral.
UACGGAGGGUGCGAGCGUUGUCCGGAAUCACUGGGCGUAAAGGGCGCGUAGGUGGCCCGGGAAGUCGGCGGUGAAAGCCCGGCGCUCAACGCCGGGUCGGCCGUCGAUACUCUCGGGCUCGAGCUCACUAGAGGCAGAUGGAAUUCCAGGUGUAGCGGUGAAAUGCGUAGAUAUCUGGAGGAACACCGGUGGCGAAGGCGGCAUCCUGGACCAACACUGACGCUGAUGAGCGAAAGCCAGGGGAGCAAACGGG